CAGUCGCCGCGGGAAUACGGAGGGUGCAAGCGUUAUUCGGAAUUACUGGGCGUAAAGCGCACGCAGGCGGUCUGACAAGUCAGAUGUGAAAUCCCCGGGCUUAACCUGGGAACUGCAUUUGAAACUGUCAGGCUGGAGUCUUGUAGAGGGGGGUGGAAUUCCAGGUGUAGCGGUGAAAUGCGUAGAGAUCUGGAGGAAUACCGGUGGCGAAGGCGGCCCCCUGGACAAAGACUGACGCUCAGGUGCGAAAGCGUGGGGAGCAAACAGGAUUAGAUACCCGAGUAGUCCCUGUCUCUUAUAC
RNAcentral lists this ribosomal RNA (301 nucleotides) under uncultured bacterium. Its description in RNAcentral is "partial 16S ribosomal RNA". It matches the Rfam family "Bacterial small subunit ribosomal RNA", at positions 509 to 807 of the family's 1533-position model. The record is from RNAcentral.